CAGCCGUAAACUAUGCGCGUUAGGUGUACUGGUGACCACGAGUCACCGGGGUGCCGAAGGGAAACCGUGAAACGUGCCGCCUGGGAAGUACGGUCGCAAGGCUGAAACUUAAAGGAAUUGGCGGGGGGAGCACCACAACGGGUGGAGCCUGCGGUUUAAUUGGACUCAACGCCGGAAGUCUCACCGGAUAGGACGGACAUAUGAUAGUCGGGCUGAAGACUCUACUUGAUGAUCUGAGAGGAGGUGCAUGGCGUCAGUGACU
This 262-nucleotide ribosomal RNA is filed under the name uncultured archaeon. Its description in RNAcentral is "partial 16S ribosomal RNA". It matches the Rfam family "Archaeal small subunit ribosomal RNA", at positions 748 to 1008 of the family's 1478-position model. The record is from RNAcentral.